AACGGCCAUACCAUGCUGAAUAUACCGGUUCUCGUUAGAUCACCGAAGUCAAGCAUCAUUGGGCGCUUUCAGUACUUGGGUGGGUGACCACCUGGGAAUACCGCGUGCCGUU
Molecule: non-coding RNA, 112 nt
Organism: Caerostris darwini
Lineage: Eukaryota; Metazoa; Arthropoda; Arachnida; Araneae; Araneidae
Source: the annotation of a GenBank genome assembly